UACGAAGGGGGCUAGCGUUGCUCGGAAUCACUGGGCGUAAAGGGUGCGUAGGCGGGUCUUUAAGUCAGGGGUGAAAUCCUGGAGCUCAACUCCAGAACUGCCUUUGAUACUGAGGAUCUUGAGUUCGGGAGAGGUGAGUGGAACUGCGAGUGUAGAGGUGAAAUUCGUAGACAUUCGCAAGAACACCAGUGGCGAAGGCGGCUCACUGGCCCGAUACUGACGCUGAGGCACGAAAGCGUGGGGAGCAAACAGG
RNAcentral lists this ribosomal RNA (253 nucleotides) under uncultured bacterium. RNAcentral describes it as "partial 16S ribosomal RNA". It matches the Rfam family "Bacterial small subunit ribosomal RNA", at positions 524 to 776 of the family's 1533-position model. The record is from RNAcentral.